Molecule: ribosomal RNA, 117 nt
Organism: Cricetulus griseus (Chinese hamster)
Lineage: Eukaryota; Metazoa; Chordata; Mammalia; Rodentia; Cricetidae
Source: Ensembl
GUCUACAGCCAUACCACCCUGAACAUUCUGAUCUUGUGUGAUCUCAGAAACUAAGCAGGAUUGGGCCUGGUUAGUAUUUGGAUGGGAGACAGCCUGGGCAUACCAGUGCUGUAGGCU